CUGUCUGUCUGUCUGUCUAUAUAUCCAUCUGUAUGGAGACUAGAGGUCAACCUUGGGUCUUUUCUUAGGAGCCAUCCACCUUGUAUUUUGAGGGAAGAACCAGGGACCAAGGACCUCCAGUAUGGCUUCUGGCAUUACUGCAUCCCCAGUGGGUGGAUCACAAGUAUGUUCCUUGCUUCUCACAUGGGAGCUAAGGAUACAAUUCUGGCCGUCUUGUUCCCAUGGCAAGGACUUUACAGACUAGGCCAUCUCCCUACCCCUGACAUUAUAUACUUCCUCUCCGACUGUCUCUUUGGAGAUUGCUUAAGACAUACAUUUCUAUAGAUUAUUUUUUGGGGGGGCUUUAUUAUCCACUAAAAUGUGUGACUGACAAACAUUUCCAAGACCAGCAAUUGACCUUUCAAGGCCUCAUGCUACGAACCCCUCCAAGUUUUACAGAGCACGAUUAUUGGUGCUCUUGUAUGUGAGCCAAUCAAGACGACACAGGGAUGCUACUCUAAUUCCAGCCAAAUCUACAGCUUCUAAGAAGUUCGUGCUUAAUUCUGGGUCUGUGAAACCUUUUGAUUCAUUCUUACUUUUCUCUAUUUUAUUCUCUCUAGCUAUAAUGCUCUUUAAUGAUGACUUAAAAAAAUUCCCUAAAAAAAAGGAAAAUCACCCAUUCUUUAGGAGGUACUUAAUAUUCAGUACCAUAAUAAAAGGUUGCUAUGAAGAAAAUCUUUUGGUAAAGUUGAUUCUUAGAUGUUAGUUUGCCAAAAUAGCCCCAGAAAUAUUGUGGGGGAUUUGACUGCGGCAGCACCUUUGAAGUUUGGUUGCCUGCCUUUAAUUUUGCAGUGAGCCCUAAUCUCAUUAGAUUUCAUACAGUCAGUGUUUGUAUUGGCACAAAAGCUGUCCAAACAAAGCCAAAAUGUUGACACCACCGUCCUCUGAUGGUGUUUAGAACGAAUACAUUAAACACACUUGCGAUAGCAUUGCAUUAAGCUAAGGAAUAAAUUUUGAACUUUGAACUCAGCAGGAUUUAAAAAAAAAAGAAAAGAAAAGAAAAGCUUCACUGGAUAGCUGAGCAAUCGUGUUGUGGUGUAGUAGAUGAAUUCACUGUGCUGUUGCAAAAACCCAAACAGGCAAGCAUUCUCUCGGCUCGCAGUGUGCUGUGUGAUUAAAGAAUCCGGGCAUCAUUAGACCGAGAGUCCAUUGGUGAAGGGCCUUAACGGCAGGUAAAGCAGGCUGGCGAGUUUGCUUUGAAAUCCUCAGGAUAAACUUUGAUUGAAUGCAUUCCUAGCAGGCUGGAAGCAUACCUGCAGGUUAGUGUGGGACACCGAGUCUGGGUCAAACCGCACCCCUGGUUUACAUAUGUAGACACUUUUGUUACAUGCCUGGCCGUCAUCUUCCUACUGAUGGGGUGAAGGCUCACAAUGGACCAGAUCAGUUGGUGAGGAAACUUCUUUGCUGCCUCCCGUGAAAGGGAGGCAACUACGGUUCUAGAACUGAAAAUGAACGCAAUAAUGGUUAGGGAUACUAGUAAUGGUUGGCUAGUGCGUGGCUACUACGUAAAACCAAAGAUUUGCCCCAUAAAAUGUGCACUGUCCUACAUACUUGGAAAGUGACUGUUAGGAAGCCUGUACCUACUGCAAUCCAAAGGGAUAAACGUUGACCAAAACCCACGUGCUGAAGUCUGUGCAUAUUACCUUCAAGAGCUCGUAACCUUCAGCCCGCCGCCUUCACUCUUUUGAGGCUGGUUGCCUGCACUUGGCUUUCAGCUUGCACAGAAGGCUUCCUAAGACAUCUAUUUGGAAUCUGUCACUAGUCAAAAUGGCGCUGAAGGCACCCUCUAAACAGCUCCCUUUUAAAAUGACUGACUGUCUUUUAGGUCUUCGUGUCAAGAGUGGUAGUAUUUUGUUUUUUUACUUUUUCUGAAUAGCUGGCUUGUUUUUAUUUAUGCAUUGUGACCCUGUGACUAAUCAGUAACUUUUCCAUCUUUCUGAUUUUUUUCGGGCUCCAGAGUGCUAUUUCCUAAGGCUAGUAAUUGAAAAGGGCUAUGGGGGUGCAGUCUGUGUAUAUCAUUUCCCUGUGGCAUGAUUUGUCUAUUUUUAUUUUUUCUUCAUUCAGACUCUCCCCAGAAAUCAGCAUCUUUUCAAUUGCAUAAUGUUUUAAAGCUGUUUUUAACCCUUUGCGGGAAGGGAUAGAAAUACACAUGUGCAUACAUUCAUAUAAACACACCUCAAUUCAUGCUUGUUCAUGAAAUGAACUGGGCUGGAGGGACACAUGUUCAUAAAUUCAUACAAAUAUCUCCCAGUGCAUGGCUGUGCAUGGCAUGAAUGAGUGCACGUCAGGCUAGGGAUACACACAUCUAUAAAUUCAUACCCCAACUCAUGCUUGCAUGUGGCACGAAUGAGUGUAUAUUUUCUAAAACCACAGCAGAUGAGAAGCCACAAAUUAGGAGUGUGGUGUUAACUAAAGAAGGGACAAUGAGAAAGUCAGCUGACACUACAAUGAGGUGGCUCCACUGAGGACUUUGGGAGCCAUCAUGGAGAGGAGUGAGCGUGUCAUCACAGCAAGGACAGCUGCCCAAGGCUAUGUCAAACAGGGCCAAAGAACCAUUCUCAUCUCUGUAACCAGAGGUUUGACAACUGACUGCAAGUCUGCAGUAUUUUGGAUAUACUAGCAAUGUGAUGGGAUCGCAAUACUCCAAAGGCUUGUCCAACAGGAUGUAUUUGGCUUAUCAGUUAAAAUGAUGUACCUCCCCCAAAUUCAAUCUAGGUACCAGAACACCAGGUUGGCAAUAAAAACCCUUACUUCUCAGCAAGGCUGGGUUGAUGCCGUUAUAAAAGCAAUGGGCAGAAGCUGCGAUAUCAUUGUGUCUGAAGAGAUGCUGUGACAGGUGUGGUCACCAUGACAGUCAGCUUUGGUCUCACCUGAGCUUAAAAGGCUUAGCACAAAUAUAAAGGUUCUGAGUCUUUUAUCUGGGAAAUGAAUCAUCCAAGGUGGGGUAGAAAGCCCUGAUUGAGAUUUAAUAAUUUGCUACAACAUCUUGACAAUUACAGUUUUGGAAUCUAUUGAGGAUUAAUUUAGGAGAGAUGGGAACAUGUCUCAGUGGAUAGAGUCCUUGUCUAGCUUGUAGAAAGCCCUGGGUCCAGUCCCCAGCACCUCAUAAACCAGGCAUAAUGGUGCAGUCUGUAAUUGUAGCCCUGGGGAGGUAGAGGUAAGACGACCAGAAAGUCAACAUCAGCUUCGGCUAUGUAAUAAUUUGAAAGCUGCCUAGGCUGUAUGAGACUCCAUCUUCAAAACAAAACAGUUGGACGCAUCAAACUCUAGGCUUCUUUUCUUUUUUUUAAAAAAAGGCUUAUUUUAAACAUAACUCAUUUAACUAAAAGUUUCAAAAUAUCAACGUUUCAGAAUAAAACCGUCGUUCUCACGCAGUCCUGUGUGGUGUGUUUGCACUAAACACAUCGCCUUCAGAGAGUAAUCGCAUGCUGUGUUAUAUUAGCCCUUUUUGGUAGGGAUACACACAUUUUAUAGUGCUCAUGACACAUUUUCCUGCUAUACAUAAUGGAUGCUUACUUAAGAUACUCAGGCUGUUGCCAUCAAAGUUUUCUGGCACACCACCUUCCACUCCUCACUGAGAUAUAAACAAAGCCCUUAGCAGACUUGGAUAUCUUCCUAGCAUCCCUGCCAUCCGUUGUAACGGGGACCAGUCAGUGUCUUUCGCCAUGUGGAGGGGGCUUAAUCACAUUCCGUCUUCUCAUUCAGAAUGGACUUUGGAAGUUGUUACUAUGAAUGCCUUUCAAACAUACACACAGAUAGGAGAUAGUAACAGCCAGCUCUCAUGGCAUGGAGACAGAGCUAUCCCAUGCUUUCUCAGCCUUGCCUUCCUGUUCUUUGCUCUCUGGUAAAGGCAUGUCAAAGAGAACGAUGAUUUCUCUUGAAACACUCCAGUGUGCAUUUAUAAAAUGAUUUGAUCCGUGUAACUGUCAUAGUGCUACCAGGAUCAGCGGCUUUAACGUUUAACUGGGUCAUGGUUUAAGUUAACCGGAAAGACUCACCUGCCCCAAUCCAUGCAUUGCUAUGGCUACUCAUCCUUUCAACCUUUGUAACCUAAAUGUUGCCAAUAUGUAACUGCCGGCUACAAUUUAAAACUGAGAUUUAACAGGAUGAAGACAAUCAGAUGUCGUCACACUUGUCCCUUUUGUAGAGCUCAGUGGUGCUGCUGUGCUGCCAGGGUAGGCAUGCGGCGCUCUCUUCUUGUGCUGGCUACAUUUUGUCAGCCGGACACAGCUAGGGUCACCAGGGAAGAGGGAAACUCAGUUUCGAAAAUGCUUUUACAAGAUUGGUUUGUGGGGCAUUUUCUUGAUUGAUGUGGAAGGGCCCAGCUUCCUGUUUGCAAUGCUACUCCUGGUCAGGUGGUCCUAGGUUCUAUAAGAAAUCAAGCCAUGGGGAGCAAGCCUUUGCCUGUCUGCAGGGUCCUGCCUCAGUUUCCUGUUGUGGCUUCCAUCAGUGAUGGUGGGUGAUAUGGAAGUGUAAGACAAAUACCGCAUUUGGUCACAGUGUUUACUAAAGACUCAGAAAGCAAACUGGCAUGUGUCUGCAUGGGAUGUUCAUUGCCUUGGAAUAGCUCCUUCCUCACUGUUAGGUUUUUAGAUACAAAGUGUCUCCUGAAGGCUCCAUGCAUUGAAGGUUGGUGGCCAGUGGGUUGGGAGUUUGGGGAGGCAAUUGAAGCUUGAAGAAGGCACUAACCUCAUCAAUGGCUAGUCCAAGAUAGGCUUGCAAGUUGAUAAUGUUGGGAGGGGGUGGAAACUUCUGGAGAAGAAGCUUCACUGGAAUAAGUGGGUACCUGGGCUGUUAACCUGUUUCUUGUCUUCCUGCAUCUCUGAGCAGCUUUUCUCCACCAGGUCUUCUCUGCCCCAGGUUCUUUCUCUCCACAAGGUACAGGAAGGAAGGCUCACAGCACCGGCUGAGCAAUGAGCCCAGACUAAGUUGCCUAUCUCAGGUAAUUUGCCACUAACUUUUGUGAAGUACCUAGCCACGCCCACUUCUCCUUGUUCACUGAGAAAGUGGCAUCAGCUCUGAGGGAUUCCUUAUUCAUGCACGGGUUUAACAUUGCCAGUUUGUCCUGGGAUUUUUUUUAUUAAAAUGUGGCUAAAGUUCAACUUUAAAAAAUAACUAUUUUGUAAUUUUGCUGCCCGACGCCCAACCCAGAGAUAGGGCUUGUAUUACUGCUGGAUAUCUCCAACAGUCAAGAAAAAUAUAUUUUGUUUUGAUGUGUGUGUGUGUGUGUGUGUGUGUGUGUGUGUGUGUGUGUGUGUAUGUGUGUGUGUAUGUGUGUGUAUGUGUGUAUGUGUGUGUAUGUUUGUAUGUGUGUAUGUAUGUGUGUGUAUGUGUGUGUAUGUGUGUGUAUGUGUGUGUGUGUGUGUGUGUAUGUGUGUGUGUGUAUUGUACAAGUGUUUAGGUACCUGUGGAGGGCAGAAGUAUUCCAGAUUCCCUGGAGCUGGAGUACAGGAGGCUGUGAGCCACUCUAUAAAUGGGUGCUGGGAACUUAAUCCACAUCUACCCAGAGAGCGACAAGAGCUCUAAGUGCUAAGCCCAUCUCUCCAGUUCCUAAAGUUCAACCUAUAUGUCGUGGGUCAGGGAUUUUGUUGGUGCUGCCCUGUACUUAAAUGACAGGAAUGCUCAUUUGCUCUAGCUUUGUAUUUCAUUGAGUAAAUUGAUUUAGUUUUCUCUGUUGCUCUGCAGCCAUUUCCUCAUCAUACAUUCCAUUGUCACGUAGCUUCUGUGAGCAGCCUCCUGUAGGACCCUCAUGGAUGCCAGUGUGUAUAGGGGACCAGUCUUCCCCAGCAUCAGGUAUCAUAGAAAUGCUGGGUUCUUCUAUUUAAUACUUCCCUGCAAUUUGAAUAAUCUUUUCUUUCUUCUUUAUGUGUAGAGUUUGCUAUGCCAGCCAGGCCUUUCUGCAAACGGAGUGAGGUCAAAACCUGACUUAUUGUAUAUGGAAUCAAUAAGGAAGACAUGCCAAGGAGAGCGGGGCAUGCUGGUCACAGGGACAUUGGAAAGGCACAGAGAUACCCCGUUUUGGAAUCAGGCCAUCUGACUCUCAGUGAUUUGACGUAAUGUUCUUAUUUGGAUAGAAAGAAAAAAAAUUAGAGCCGAUGUGAAAAGGAAUUACUCAACCAGCAAACACGAAAGCUCACAGCAACUUUCCCAGUCUGUGAGAGUCUGGCCGCAGGAUGGCACAAGUCACAGACAGUGUUCUGGUGAUGUUUGUGGCAAAGCAGUGGGUUUUAUAGCAUAAAGUGGGAUCUGGAUUCCUCAUCUUUGUAUCUUAUGUUCAAGGUUUGUUUUUUAUUUCCUCAGAGCUCAGAAAUAGGCAUGUGGAAAGUACGGUUUAAAAAAUGUACAAUUAAAUUGGUUCUCUGUA
Long non-coding RNA from Rattus norvegicus (Norway rat), 6403 nucleotides. RefSeq lists it as uncharacterized. NCBI's taxonomy places the organism in Eukaryota, Metazoa, Chordata, Mammalia, Rodentia, Muridae. The record is from RefSeq and is a predicted model, not a curated record.